CCAGAGAACUUUAGCAGAGAUGCUUUGGUGCCUUUCGGGAACUCUGAGACAGGUGCUGCAUGGCUGUCGUCAGCUCGUGUUUGUGAAAUGUUGGGUUAAGUCCCGCAACGAGCGCAACCCUUAUCCUUUGUUGCCAGCGGCUCGGCCGGGAACUCAAAGGAGACUGCCGGUGAUAAACCGGAGGAAGGUGGGGAUGACGUCAAGUCAUCAUGGCCCUUACGGCCAGGGCUACACACGUGCUACAAUGGCGCAUACAAAGAGAAGCGACCUCGCGAGAGCAAGCGGACCUCAUAAAGUGCGUCGUAGUCCGGAUUGGAGUCUGCAACUCGACUCCAUGAAGUCGGAAUCGCUAGUAAUCGUAGAUCAGAAUGCUACGGUGAAUACGUUCCCGGGCCUUGUACACACCGCCCGUCACACCAUGGGAGUGGGUUGCAAAAGAAGUAGGUAGCUUAACCUUCGGGAGGGCGCUUACCACUUUGUGAUUCAUGACUGGGGUGAAGUCGUAACAAGGUAGGCGUAGCGAG
RNAcentral lists this ribosomal RNA (524 nucleotides) under uncultured bacterium. RNAcentral's name for it is "bacterial SSU rRNA". It matches the Rfam family "Bacterial small subunit ribosomal RNA", at positions 988 to 1509 of the family's 1533-position model. The record is from RNAcentral.